GCUGUCGUUUCGUUUUUCAUUUUACUCUCUCACUUUCUUUGGAAUCAGCCUGCUGUGUGGACGCGAACAGCAAGACUUCUCCACAAAACAUCCGGCGUAUGGGAAAUGCGCCAACGCCGCGGUAAAGUUCGACUUCCGGCCGGAAACUUGCCCCCUUCCAGGGGGGGUAGGUUCCGCUAGGACGGUCCAGCUUUGAAGAGAACCGCAAACUCAUUUCGUCCUCCCAACCAAACAAUCCCGGAAAUGCCGCAACACGGAGUAGUCUCUCGUUCUUCUUCGGGCACGAUUCGGGAGGGAGCCGAGUGUUUUGCAACCAACCUAGAAUGUAGUAAAUUUGUGUGUUUUUGUGUCCAAUAAAAAAAUGCGUUUUCAACGUGAAGAA
This is a long non-coding RNA of Culex quinquefasciatus (southern house mosquito), 382 nucleotides long. RefSeq lists it as uncharacterized. NCBI's taxonomy places the organism in Eukaryota, Metazoa, Arthropoda, Insecta, Diptera, Culicidae. The transcript has 2 exons. The record is from RefSeq and is a predicted model, not a curated record.